RNAcentral lists this ribosomal RNA (500 nucleotides) under uncultured bacterium. RNAcentral's name for it is "bacterial SSU rRNA". It matches the Rfam family "Bacterial small subunit ribosomal RNA", at positions 9 to 521 of the family's 1533-position model. The record is from RNAcentral.
GAGUUUGAUCGUGGCUCAGGACGAACGCUGGCGGCGCGCCUAACACAUGCAAGUCGAACGAGCGAGAGAGAGCUUGCUUUCUCGAGCGAGUGGCGAACGGGUGAGUAACGCGUGAGGAACCUGCCUCAAAGAGGGGGACAACAGUUGGAAACGACUGCUAAUACCGCAUAAGCCCACGGCUCGGCAUCGAGCAGAGGGAAAAGGAGCAAUCCGCUUUGAGAUGGCCUCGCGUCCGAUUAGCUAGAUGGUGAGGUAACGGCCCACCAUGGCGACGAUCGGUAGCCGGACUGAGAGGUUGAUCGGCCACAUUGGGACUGAGACACGGCCCAGACUCCUACGGGAGGCAGCAGUGGGGAAUAUUGCACAAUGGAGGAAACUCUGAUGCAGCGACGCCGCGUGAGGGAAGAAGGUCUUCGGAUUGUAAAACCUCUGUUGUCAGGGACGAUAAUGACGGUACCUGACGAGGAAGCCACGGCUAACUACGUGCCAGCAGCCGCAGU